CCUACGGGUGGCAGCAGUAGGGAAUCUUCCACAAUGGGCGAAAGCCUGAUGGAGCAACGCCGCGUGGGUGAAGAAGGUCUUCGGAGCAUAAAACCCUGUUGUUAGAGAAGAAAACGCGUGAGAGUAACUGUUCACGUUUCGACGGUAUCUAACCAGAAAGCCACGGCUAACUACGUGCAGGCAGCCGCGGUAAUAAGGAGGAUGCGAGCGUUAUCCGAUUUUAUUGGGUUUAAAGGGUGCGUUGGCGGACGCUUAAGUCAGAGGUAAAAUUGCGGGGCUCAACCUCGUCGAGCCGUUGAAACUGGGUGCCUUGAGUGGGCUAGAAGUACGCGGAAUGCGUGGUGUAGCGGUGAAAUGCAUAGAUAUCACGCAGAACUCCGAUUGCGAAGGCAGCGUACCGGCGCCCAACUGACGCUGAAGCACGAAGGCGUGGGUAUCGAACAGGAUUAGAUACCCCAGUAGUC
Molecule: ribosomal RNA, 464 nt
Filed under: uncultured bacterium
Lineage: Bacteria
Description: partial 16S ribosomal RNA
Rfam family: Bacterial small subunit ribosomal RNA
Source: RNAcentral